This 492-nucleotide ribosomal RNA is filed under the name uncultured bacterium. RNAcentral's name for it is "partial 16S ribosomal RNA". It matches the Rfam family "Bacterial small subunit ribosomal RNA", at positions 29 to 507 of the family's 1533-position model. The record is from RNAcentral.
AGUGAACGCUGGCGGUAGGCCUAACACAUGCAAGUCGAACGGCAGCACAGUUAUAGCCUGCUCUUACGGUUUGCGAGUGUCGGACGUGUGACGUAUACAUCGGAAUCUACUUUUUCGUGGGUGAUAACGUAGGUAAACUUACUCUAAUACCGCAUACGACCUACUUGUGAAAUCAGGUGAUCUUCUGUCCUUUCGCGAUUGUAUUAGCCGAUUUCGGAUUAGCUAGUUGGCUGGGUAAAGGCCCACCAAGGCGACGAUCCGUAGCUGGUCUGAGAGGAUGAUCAGCCACACUGGAACUGAGACACGGUCCAGAGAACUACGGGAGGAAGCAGAGGGGAAUAGUGGACAAUGGGCGGAAGCAUGAUACAGAAAUACCGCGUGGGUGAAGAAGGACUUCGGGUUGUAAAGCGCUUUUGUCGGGAAAGAAAAGCAGAAGGUUAAUACAGAGAUGUUCUGACGGUACCAAAAGAAUAAGCACCGGCUAACUUCGUG